GUGAGGAAUCUUGCGCAAUGGGGGAAACCCUGACGCAGCGACGCCGCGUGGAGGACGAAGGCCUUCGGGUCGUAAACUCCUGUCAAGUGGGACGAAUCCGAAAAGAUGAAUAAGCUUUUCGGUUGACGGUACCAUUGGAGGAAGCCCCGGCUAACUCCGUGCCAGCAGCCGCGGUAAUACGGGGGGGGCUAGCGUUGUUCGGAAUUAUUGGGCGUAAAGGGCGCGUAGGCGGCCUGGUAAGUCGGACGUGAAAUCCCGCGGCUCAACCGCGGAACUGCGUUCGAAACUGCCAGGCUUGAGUCCCGGAGAGGGUAGCGGAAUUCCCAGUGUAGCGGUGAAAUGCGUAGAUAUUGGGAGGAACACCAGUGGCGAAGGCGGUUACCUGGACGGGUACUGACGCUGAGGCGCGAAAGCGUGGGGAGCAAACAGG
Molecule: ribosomal RNA, 430 nt
Filed under: uncultured bacterium
Lineage: Bacteria
Description: bacterial SSU rRNA
Rfam family: Bacterial small subunit ribosomal RNA
Source: RNAcentral